AUUGAACGCUGGCGGCAGGCCUAACACAUGCAAGUCGAACGGUAACAGGAAGCAGCUUGCUGCUUUGCUGACGAGUGGCGGACGGGUGAGUAAUGUCUGGGAAACUGCCUGAUGGAGGGGGAUAACUACUGGAAACGGUAGCUAAUACCGCAUAACGUCGCAAGACCAAAGAGGGGGACCUUCGGGCCUCUUGCCAUCGGAUGUGCCCAGAUGGGAUUAGCUAGUAGGUGGGGUAAAGGCUCACCUAGGCGACGAUCCCUAGCUGGUCUGAGAGGAUGACCAGCCACACUGGAACUGAGACACGGUCCAGACUCCUACGGGAGGCAGCAGUGGGGAAUAUUGCACAAUGGGCGCAAGCCUGAUGCAGCCAUGCCGCGUGUAUGAAGAAGGCCUUCGGGUUGUAAAGUACUUACAGCGGGGAGGAAGGGAGUAAAGUUAAUACCUUUGCUCAUUGACGUUACCCGCAGAAGAAGCACCGGCUAACUCCGUG
This 490-nucleotide ribosomal RNA is filed under the name uncultured bacterium. RNAcentral describes it as "partial 16S ribosomal RNA". It matches the Rfam family "Bacterial small subunit ribosomal RNA", at positions 30 to 507 of the family's 1533-position model. The record is from RNAcentral.